CGCCGUGGUCGCACACAACGUUUGAUAUGUUGACAAGGUACCACGCACUUCAGGCCUGAGAAGAGAGGGAGUGCCAUCUAGACACACUAGUCUACUAGCCAUUACUCACUAUUACUUUUUUUGGCAAUAGAUGAUGGUGAAAGCGAACGUGUUUUCUUUUCCUGUCGGUUGAUGUUCCUGUCGGUGCGCAUGAGUUCAAGGCACGUCCCGGGCAGAAGUCACAGCUGCUGCGGCUCAAGACCCCCCUGGCAAGCAGAGCAUCGCCCAGAUUGCAGAUUCCAGCCAGACACCGGUUGACCCCAAAUCCCCAGUGCCUGGGCCAUUGGCCUUUCCACGUGUGGCCAAUUUGAUGAGUGUGCGCCUUGCACAGAAACAUCCGGCCAGGAAAAGCAAAGUAGAAAGACUCGUUUUGCUGACGCUCUCCUGUGUAUGUAUUAAUAAGGUUCGGGCGUUUUAUUCUUUUUAACCGAACACAGUGGCUCCUUCUUUUUUAACAAGGCAUAUUGAAGAAUUCUUUAAAUUACAAAGUUCACUCUGAGAAAAAAUCCAGUAAAAAUGGCGUCAUUUCUUCCCACAACGAUAAUCGUCAUCUAUCUUGCGUUCCUUUCCUUGCAUUAAAGCUACGCGCCCUGCACCUACUGGUCACGAACGGCAGGCUGAUAGCGUGAAAUAGCAUUCUUGAUAGCAUGGUGACCAGCGGCAAUUUUUUAAUAAAGAAAACUAGAGCAAGCUGGUUGACUAU
Molecule: long non-coding RNA, 742 nt
Organism: Rhipicephalus microplus (southern cattle tick)
Lineage: Eukaryota; Metazoa; Arthropoda; Arachnida; Ixodida; Ixodidae
Source: RefSeq, a predicted model, not a curated record